UAUGGUGGAGCCUAAGGUUAGAUAGUGUGUGGUUAUAGAGUAAAAGUUCAGCUAGUGACUGAGCACUGGUUGAAGUGAUGUCAGGAUUGUCACUAAGAUAUAAGUCAAUAAUUGUUUUAUUAUUAAUUAAUGAUUGUGUUAGUGCAAUGACUCCAUCAUCAUUGAUGGAAUCAUUACUGAUCACUAGUGUCACUAAUGAAGUAUUGUUUGUUAUUUUGUGUGACAGUAAGAGGAUGACAUCUUUUGUUAUUUUAGUGUUUCUUAUAUAAAUAUACUUAAUUGUUCCUUUGUUCAGUGCUAGUGACAUCAAUAGGUAUACAAUAUCAGGUGAUGAGUAAUAGAGGUAAAUUUUCCGAUGAAUGUCCGUUAAUUGACUGAUCACUUCCUGACAUUGACCUGCUGAUGGUUUAGUGAGGAAUACACUACCAAUGGUCCACUCUACCUCUCCAGUCUCUUCUCCUAAUAAUAAACACAGUGAUGCUGGUUUUUGUACCAGUAAGUCAUUACAGCUGCUAGGAUGGAAUGGGUGUGGUCUAUCUUUUAUCAUGUGACAGGAAACAAAAAUCAAUUUCCUUGGUCCAUUAUGCCAGCUAAUCAACUUCAAAGCACAAGCUAAUGUAAGCAUAUACCAUAUACAUGUAU
Long non-coding RNA from Amphimedon queenslandica, 642 nucleotides. RefSeq lists it as uncharacterized. Lineage: Eukaryota; Metazoa; Porifera; Demospongiae; Haplosclerida; Niphatidae. The record is from RefSeq and is a predicted model, not a curated record. The transcript has 3 exons.